CGGGGUCGGGGGAGAGGAGAGAGAGAGCGUGUGAGUAGAUGGAAUAUCCAGAAGUCAAAAGUGUGAAAAUAUGUGAUAAAGAAAAAUUCAGCUCUGAUUUAAUGACAAAUUAACUUUCAAAACCAUUAUCUUCAAUAAUUGCAGCAAACAUUUCUUCAGCACACCACGUGUCAGUCAUCGCACUCGGAGCUUCUGCUUCUCCGCCUGGUUUACUCAAUCGCCAUAACUGCAGGAAGGAGGUGCGGUGCUGCCCGCCCCACCGCCUGCAGGUGAAGAACAAGGAAACUGGGAGCUGCCCUGCCCUUUUCCCUCAGCCAAGAAGCAGAACCUGAUGAGGCAGCCCGUAUCCACCA
Molecule: long non-coding RNA, 353 nt
Filed under: Fukomys damarensis (Damara mole-rat)
Lineage: Eukaryota; Metazoa; Chordata; Mammalia; Rodentia; Bathyergidae
Description: lncRNA (ENSFDAG00000026043.1)
Source: RNAcentral